Molecule: long non-coding RNA, 983 nt
Filed under: Gossypium barbadense (sea-island cotton)
Lineage: Eukaryota; Viridiplantae; Streptophyta; Magnoliopsida; Malvales; Malvaceae
Description: long non-coding RNA (GBAR_LNC017273)
Source: RNAcentral
CUGUAUCUUUUUAUUUUUUAGUCUUCAAGCAAAGUCAUCAGAAUUUUUAAAAAACAAGUUCAAACACAGUUUUUUAAAAAAAACAAAUAAAACAAAACCUAUUCGUGAUUUUGGGAGGUUUUUUUUGGUAGUGGUUGAGGUUCGAAUUGUAGUCUCAUGUCGAGGUUUGAUUGGUAUGGCGGUUGCCUCGAUUUUUGCAGAAUCUUUUGCUAUGGCAGGUGUACAAGCCCAAAUAUGCCGGGGCCCAAGAAAAUAAAUAUGCCCAAACAUGCCCAACCCACUAAACCUGGCCCAAACAAAAAACAAAAUAACAGAAACCCUAGGAGCCUAUUUGCUUCAGCACUGCCGCAACUCACCCUCGCACACUGCCGCGAAUCUCGCGCCACGACCCUCCCCAACAUGCACCGCUCCAUGCGCUAGCAAUACCUACAGCAACAAACGCAAAACAAAACAUCAAAAAAAAUGGAACAAAAACAACAAUAUGCCAACGAAAAAUAGGAGAUUUCUUUGGAUUUGGGUUCAUUUUUUCCCAUUUUCGGCUAUUUAAAGCCAUUAUCGAAUCUGUAAAAAGGAGGGGGAUUACAGUUUAGAUACGAAAAACAGAGAGAAAAUAGAGAUUUACUUAUUGAUUUCCGAAUACAAAAGGUGGUUUUUUUGGAGUUUUUUUAUUCCUAGUUUCGUUUUGUUUUCUUUUUUCUCUUUUAGUUUUUUUAUUUUAUUUUAUUUUUCAUUUAAAACAAAGAAAGGAAAAGACUUACCUGGUCGCCGGAGUUGUCGAGCCAGUGUCUUCUCCGGCGAAAUCGGGGCAUGGGGCACUAGGCUCGAACGGUGGCGCAAUGAGGGAGGGGGUUAAAAAAACCCCUAGCAGACCACUGUUCUUUAACACAAAAAAAACAAGCAGAAUUUUUUUUUAAGGUUUUGGCUAACUUAAAGAAGAAACGAAAACGGCGUAGUUUUGCCUAUACCAUCCGCCUUUUUAUUUU